GCCGUCCUUUGUAAAUUUGAAAAUUAUCGUCAAUUUUGGCAUCGAUGGUGAAUUCGAUGAUAAUUGCCUCCUUCGAAAGACUUUUGUUAAAAAAAAUGUUGAAAUUGGCAUAGAUGGUUGUAACGGGCCUAUUUUUCCCGGGGCUAAACCAAUAACCCAAAAACAAAAAUAAAACCAAAUAAGUUAAGAGUCUGAGUCCAAUUACAAAAAGAGCCCGAAUGUAAAACAUACUAGACCCAAAUUUACAAUCCAAAUAUAAAACCCAAAAUUUUAUAGGCCCAAAGCUAAAACAACCUAGCCCAAGAAUAGCCCAAAACCUAAAAUCAUUCAGCCAAAAAAAACCUAGGCGCCGUUCCCCCCUUUGCGUGCCUCAAGUGCAUCGUACCCCUCCAUGUGCGCCCUCGGCGCACACAUCGCCAGAUGGCUGCUCCUUUGCACCAAAAUGGCAUGUUUUCACGCUCGUUGACCCUCUUAGCCCUGCAAAACAAUCCAAAAACGAGCAAGAACACAGCAAAAGGAAACACGCAAAGACAAACAGUAGAGAACAGAGGCUUAAACAAAAAUAAAAAAAGUAGAUUGUAUUUUGGCUAUAAAGCCAAGAACGAACAUAUUGUAUUCUUUUUACAGACCAUUAAGCAAUCAAAACACAAAAUGUUGAAUCUCAUCUUUUCUUCCCUAUUUUUCUGUUUUCAUUUUUAUUUUUGUUCUUUUGUUUUCAAAUUGGUUUAAACAAAACCAAAAAGAAUAGAGAAAAAUAGACUUACCCCAACUCCGAAGUCGCAUCAUCAGAGCUCCUGCUCUAUCGGUGAAACCGACUAAAAAGGGUGUCUUUUCUCUCGGAUUCACGGGCUAAGGGAAUAGGGCCUUCGGGUGCUCCAAAAUCGGAGUCAAAAGACCCCUUUUGUGCAACCCCGAUCACCACCUACAGUGGCUUCAUGGCAGCGGCGAUGAUGGGUGCAUAAACCCUAGCAGAGCACAAACAGGGGGCUGCUCUUUGUUUCUGAGAAGAGAAAGAAAAAAUGAAAAGUUUUUUUAAAAAAAUUUGGCUUUAACAGGCAUGCAAAGCGGUGACAUUUGCAAUCCCCCCACACGCCUCAAAACGGCG
This 1105-nucleotide long non-coding RNA is filed under the name Gossypium barbadense (sea-island cotton). Its description in RNAcentral is "long non-coding RNA (GBAR_LNC012228)". The record is from RNAcentral. Lineage: Eukaryota; Viridiplantae; Streptophyta; Magnoliopsida; Malvales; Malvaceae.